Molecule: ribosomal RNA, 253 nt
Filed under: uncultured bacterium
Lineage: Bacteria
Description: partial 16S ribosomal RNA
Rfam family: Bacterial small subunit ribosomal RNA
Source: RNAcentral
UACGUAGGGACCAAGCGUUGUUCGGAUUUACUGGGCGUAAAGGGCGCGUAGGCGGCGUGUCAAGUCAGUUGUGAAAUCUCCGGGCUUAACUCGGAACGGUCAAUUGAUACUGAUGUGCUAGAGUGCAGAAGGGGCAAUCGGAAUUCUUGGUGUAGCGGUGAAAUGCGUAGAUAUCAAGAGGAACACCUGAGGUGAAGACGGGUUGCUGGGCUGACACUGACGCUGAGGCGCGAAAGCUAGGGUAGCAAACGGG